UGGGGAAUUUUCCGCAAUGGGCGAAAGCCUGACGGAGCAAUACCGCGUGAGGGAUGACGGCCUAUGGGUUGUAAACCUCUUUUUUCAGGGAGGAAUCAAUGACGUGUACCUGAAGAAUAAGCAUCGGCUAACUCCGUGCCAGCAGCCGCGGUAAGACGGAGGAUGCAAGUGUUAUCCGGAAUCACUGGGCGUAAAGCGUCUGUAGGUGGUCCAAUAAGUCAACUGUUAAAUCUUGAGGCUCAACCUCAAAAUCGCAGUCGAAACUGUUAGACUAGAGUAUAGUAGGGGUAAAGGGAAUUUCCAGUGGAGCGGUGAAAUGCGUAGAUAUUGGAAGGAACACCGAUGGCGAAGGCACUUUACUGGGCUAUUACUAACACUCAGAGACGAAAGCUAGGGUAGCAAAUG
RNAcentral lists this ribosomal RNA (405 nucleotides) under uncultured bacterium. Its description in RNAcentral is "bacterial SSU rRNA". It matches the Rfam family "Bacterial small subunit ribosomal RNA", at positions 355 to 774 of the family's 1533-position model. The record is from RNAcentral.